GGGGGUGAUCGGUUUCGACAGUGGUCGGCUGAUCAGGGGAAGCGGGUCGAGGACGUACGGUUAUCUCGUUAACGCUCCGUGCAAACCAAUAGGUGCCGAUUCCAAGCGCACCGACUUCGCCCUCGCUGCCUGAGCGAGCCCGAAGUCCGUUGGCCUAAGUGUGAUCUCGGCUUAGUCACCAGCGUCAUCUAGAGAUCUUGCUGCACCGGCUGGUCGGGGGUCGGUGCGGGACUGCUACUCGACUGGGCCUGUGUCAGGGAACGUGUGCGUGCGAGCCCUGAGGCCGAGAAACUCCACAGCGCACUGCACCCGGAGAAGCCCUGGUUUCCCGUCAUUGGACGCGGGUUCAAUUCCCGCCACCUCCACCA
This 368-nucleotide transfer-messenger RNA is filed under the name Dermatophilaceae. Its description in RNAcentral is "F2B08 sp012838445 Standard tmRNA". It matches the Rfam family "transfer-messenger RNA". From Rfam's summary of the family: Bacterial tmRNA, also known as 10Sa RNA or SsrA, is named for its dual tRNA and mRNA-like properties. RNAcentral also lists the same sequence under 1 other name. The record is from RNAcentral. Lineage: Bacteria; Bacillati; Actinomycetota; Actinomycetes; Micrococcales.